GCAGAGCUUGCUCUGUGGAUCAGUGGCGAACGGGUGAGUAACACGUGAGCAAUCUGCCCCUGACUCUGGGAUAAGCGCUGGAAACGGCGUCUAAUACCGGAUACGAGCUGCGACCGCAUGGUCAGUAGCUGGAAAGAAUUUCGGUCAGGGAUGAGCUCGCGGCCUAUCAGCUUGUUGGUGAGGUAAUGGCUCACCAAGGCGUCGACGGGUAGCCGGCCUGAGAGGGUGACCGGCCACACUGGGACUGAGACACGGCCCAGACUCCUACGGGAGGCAGCAGUGGGGAAUAUUGCACAAUGGGCGCAAGCCUGAUGCAGCAACGCCGCGUGAGGGAUGACGGCCUUCGGGUUGUAAACCUCUUUUAGCAGGGAAGAAGCGAAAGUGACGGUACCUGCAGAAAAAGCGCCGGCUAACUACGUGCCAGCAGCCGCGGUAAUACGUAGGGCGCAAGCGUUAUCCGGAAUUAUUGGGCGUAAAGAGCUCGUAGGCGGUCUGUCGCGUCUGCUGUGAAAACCCGAGGCUCAACCUCGGGCCUGCAGUGGGUACGGGCAGACUAGAGUGCGGUAGGGGAGAUUGGAAUUCCUGGUGUAGCGGUGGAAUGCGCAGAUAUCAGGAGGAACACCGAUGGCGAAGGCAGAUCUCUGGGCCGUAACUGACGCUGAGGAGCGAAAGGGUGGGGAGCAAACAGGCUUAGAUACCCUGGUAGUCCACCCCGUAAACGUUGGGAACUAGUUGUGGGGUCCAUUCCACGGAUUCCGUGACGCAGCUAACGCAUUAAGUUCCCCGCCUGGGGAGUACGGCCGCAAGGCUAAAACUCAAAGGAAUUGACGGGGACCCGCACAAGCGGCGGAGCAUGCGGAUUAAUUCGAUGCAACGCGAAGAACCUUACCAAGGCUUGACAUAUAGAGGAAACGUCUGGAAACAGUCGCCCCGCAAGGUCUCUAUACAGGUGGUGCAUGGUUGUCGUCAGCUCGUGUCGUGAGAUGUUGGGUUAAGUCCCGCAACGAGCGCAACCCUCGUUCUAUGUUGCCAGCACGUAAUGGUGGGAACUCAUGGGAUACUGCCGGGGUCAACUCGGAGGAAGGUGGGGAUGACGUCAAAUCAUCAUGCCCCUUAUGUCUUGGGCUUCACGCAUGCUACAAUGGCCGGUACAAAGGGCUGCAAUACCGUGAGGUGGAGCGAAUCCCAAAAAGCCGGUCCCAGUUCGGAUUGAGGUCUGCAACUCGACCUCAUGAAGUCGGAGUCGCUAGUAAUCGCAGAUCAGCAACGCUGCGGUGAAUACGUUCCCGGGUCUUGUACACACCGCCCGUCAAGUCAUGAAAGUCGGUAACACCUGAAGCCGGUGGCCCAACCCUUGUGGAGGAGCCGUC
Molecule: ribosomal RNA, 1370 nt
Filed under: Microbacterium sp.
Lineage: Bacteria; Bacillati; Actinomycetota; Actinomycetes; Micrococcales; Microbacteriaceae
Description: bacterial SSU rRNA
Rfam family: Bacterial small subunit ribosomal RNA
Source: RNAcentral